Molecule: ribosomal RNA, 530 nt
Filed under: Dactylosporangium salmoneum
Lineage: Bacteria; Bacillati; Actinomycetota; Actinomycetes; Micromonosporales; Micromonosporaceae
Description: bacterial SSU rRNA
Rfam family: Bacterial small subunit ribosomal RNA
Source: RNAcentral
GAACGCUGGCGGCGUGCUUAACACAUGCAAGUCGAGCGGAAAGGCCCUUCGGGGUACUCGAGCGGCGAACGGGUGAGUAACACGUGAGUAACCUGCCCUAGGCUUUGGGAUAACCCUCGGAAACGGGGGCUAAUACCGGAUAUUCAUUCCCGGCGGCAUCGUUGGGUGUGGAAAGUUUUUCGGCUUGGGAUGGGCUCGCGGCCUAUCAGCUUGUUGGUGGGGUGAUGGCCUACCAAGGCGACGACGGGUAGCCGGCCUGAGAGGGCGACCGGCCACACUGGGACUGAGACACGGCCCAGACUCCUACGGGAGGCAGCAGUGGGGAAUAUUGCACAAUGGGCGGAAGCCUGAUGCAGCGACGCCGCGUGAGGGAUGAAGGCCUUCGGGUUGUAAACCUCUUUCGACAGGGACGAAGCGUGAGUGACGGUACCUGGAGAAGAAGCGCCGGCCAACUACGUGCCAGCAGCCGCGGUAAGACGUAGGGCGCGAGCGUUGUCCGGAUUUAUUGGGCGUAAAGAGCUCGUAGGCGG